Non-coding RNA from Phrynosoma platyrhinos (Desert horned lizard), 73 nucleotides. The record is from the annotation of a GenBank genome assembly. NCBI's taxonomy places the organism in Eukaryota, Metazoa, Chordata, Lepidosauria, Squamata, Phrynosomatidae.
GCCCAUAAUGGUUCAGUGGUUUGAGUGCUGGCCUAUGACUCUGUAGACCUGGGUUCAAUUUCCCGUUUGGGUU